GGUAAAGACGUGGUCUUCUUUCCUUAGCCACCUCGACCCAGCUAUCUCUUCAUUUUUCUUUUUUCUGAAAAUAGAACCAUAACCGAAAUCCCAGAUCGUUCUUCUUCUAAUCUAUUCUCCCAGAACCCAAGAUUCAAUCUCAAGCUUUCAACAAUUUCUUCGAUCUGUAACCAAUUUCUUCGAUCUGUAAACAUUUUCUUUUCUCAAUCUCAAUCGUGAGCCAUUUUUUUCUCCUUCUUAAGUGGUAAUGAUAAUCUGAAAAACCCCUAAAUCGAAUAUUGAAUUCAGUUUUCCUGCUCGUAAUAAUGAUAAUCUAAAAAAAAUAUUGUUGUUUGAGUCUACUUUUGGUAUUUGAAAACCCGGAUCUAGUUUUGCUUUACUGAAGCUUUGAGUUGUGAAGAUCGAGCAUAUCUUGUAGGUACUCUUAAGGGUAAGCUAAUGCCAUUUUCACUGAAGCACAAUCUGAAUUUCUUGAUUCCCUUUCUACAAAUGUUAGUAAACGUGUUGAAGCUCUACAAGAGAUUCAGGUCAAGAAGGAAGAUGUGGAGAAGAUUAUUGAUCGGGAGAGGACUGCCGUUUAAGCCCGCUCGUGUUUUGUUGCAGGUGCAUGCAACUAUUUAAUCUAUAAAAAAUUAGGUGAUAAGGAAGAUUUAUGUUGAUAUCCUUUUUAAGUACUUUUUUGUUUUCCAUGAUUUUACUGGUGUACCUGCUGUCAUUGACCUUGCCUGCAUGCGUGACACAAUGAACAAGCUAGGAAGUGAUUCUAACAAGAUCAACCCUUGGUUAAUCUUCCACGUGGAUUUGGAUAUGUUGUAUAUAUGACUAGAGCUUAUGCAGAAAAGGCACUUCUUUUCAUGGAUGGGGCACAAAUUGAUGGAAAUGUUGUUCGAGCAAGGUUCACCUUGUCUCCACGAAAGAAGGGUUCCUCACCUACAAAGAUUGUUCCUGCUUCUCAAAAGAAGGAUGGUGUUGACAUUCAAAAGGAUGCUCCACACAGACAAAGAGAUUAUAGGUUUCUUCAUGUGGUCCCGUAUAUUUUCUUAGGAGAAAUAUUCUAUCAUAUAUGAUUAUAUAUAUACAAAGAAAUAUUUUCUUUUAGGUUUCAAAGGAAUGUCCAUACUUUAGGUUUAGUCACUUGGAAUGGCUCAAUGUUUGCUCUGAAAUGAUCACCCAGACUGUAUAUGAGCUAUUAGUAUCCGAGUUUGAACAUUUACACCACAAAUUCAAAGUUUGGGAUAUUCAGUAUGCUAAUUCGUCGUCUGGAAGCCUUUUUGUAAGGUUUCUAAACUUGCUCCGACAUAUGUGUCCUUACUAGUAAGAUUAUUGUUGUCUACGUUUAGUUUGUUAAUGAUGAAUAUUAUAGGUUAACCUAUGUUCAGCACUACAUAAAAUUGACCGAUCUGGAGGAAAACCGCAGGUUGAAUGAAUUACUGUAAGGCUUGGACUUCAAUCAAGUAUUUAUUUUUGUCAAAAGUGUUUGGCAAAGCAGGUCGAUUUGUUACGAAAGGGCUUGCAAUUUAAUUUGUCACUUCAUGUGAAGGUUUAAGAGAGGUUUGAAGUUCAGGAGAGGUUUGAAGUAAGAAGAAUUACGCUGAUAUUAAAACACAGUGUUGGAGUUGAACAAUAUCUGAACUCUGAAUGGAAAGUACUUGCAGUUACUCAGAAGGAUGUUGCAGUGUCGUCAUUAUCUUUGAAAAAUCACUAAUUCAAAGAUAAUUUUUCGUUUCCCUUUGUUUUCAACCCUUUACAUAAUAUUUAUAUGAAAACCUAUGCAUUUAAGCUCGACAAGAACUGAUGCAAAGCAUUAUAAUGUAAAGCAUGAUAUGUAGAAUGAACCUGGAGGGAUGGAGAGCUAUAGUCUUUGAAUACUAACCACAAUUACAACAAUCAAAGCUUGCUACAAGAGAAGCUAAAAAAGUCAUGGUGAAUAGCUGCAAAGCUUUAAACUUGGUUUGAGCACCUUGACUGUCGGAAGAAGAUUCUCAAUGAUUAACUGAUGGUAGAACCUUGCUGCUGAGUUGAGCCAAUUUGUUAUCUUAAGCUCGUAAUUAUAUGAAUAUGGGUUAAGGUUUUCCAACUUACUGUUAGGAUGUUUUGAGACUUAGAACUUGCAGUAUUUUAGAUAGUUGAAAUUGUAAACUGAUUGCACUUUUCAAUACAAAUUGAGUUCUAAGGUUAUUAUCAAUUUAAUUUUGUUAAA
Papaver somniferum (opium poppy) is the source of this 2200-nucleotide RNA transcript. It is a transcript of the gene named serine/arginine-rich splicing factor SR45-like, with no coding region annotated. The transcript has 7 exons. Lineage: Eukaryota; Viridiplantae; Streptophyta; Magnoliopsida; Ranunculales; Papaveraceae. The record is from RefSeq and is a predicted model, not a curated record.